CUACCACAUCCAAGGAUGGCAGCAGGCGCGCAAAUUACCCAAUCCCGACACGGGGAGGUACUGACAAUAAAUAACAAUACGGCCUUCUUUCGGAUUUCGUAAUUGGAAUGAGUACAAUAUAAAUCUCUUAACGAGGAACAAUUGGAGGGCAAGUCUCGUGCCAGCAGCCGCGGUAAAUCCAGCUCCAAUAGCGUAUAUUAAAGUUGUUGCAGUUAAAAGGCUCGUAGUUGAAUUUCGGGAUCAAAUUGUCGGUCGUGCCUCGGUACGUACUGGUAUUAUUGGUUCCUCCCUUCUGACGAACCACGAUGUCAUUAAUUUGGUGUCAUGGGAAAUCAGGACUGUUACUUUGAAAAAUUAGAGUGUUUAAAGCAGGCUCGCGCUUGAAUACAUUAGCAUGGAAUAAUGAAAUAGGACGUUUGACUCUAUUUUGUUGGUUUCUAGGAUCGACGUAAUGAUUAAUAGGGAUAGUUGGGGGCAUUAGUAUUCAAUUGUCAGAGGUGAAAUUCUUGGAUUUAUUGAAGACUAACUACUGCGAAAGCAUUUGCCAAGGAUGUUUUCAUUAAUCAAGAACGAAAGUUAGGCGAUCGAAGACGAUCAGAUACCGUCGUAGUCUUAACCAUAAACUAUGCCGACUAGGGAUCGGAUGAUGUUAAAUUUUUAAUGACUCAUUCGGCGCCUUACGGGAAACCAAAGUGUUUGGGUUCCGGGGGGAGUAUGGUCGCAAGGCUGAAACUUAUAGGAAUUGACGGAAGGGCACCACCAGGGGUGGAGCCUGCGGCUUAAUUUGACUCAACACGGGGAAACUCACCAGGUCCAGACAUAGUAAGGAUUGACAGAUUGAGAGCUCUUUCUUGAUUCUAUGGGUGGUGGUGCAUGGCCGUUCUUAGUUGGUGGAGUGAUUUGUCUGGUUAAUUCCGUUAACGAACCAGACCUUAACCUGCUAAAUAGCUAGGCUUAGCUUCGGUUAGGCCGUCAGCUUCUUAGAGGGACUAUCGGUGUUUAACCGAUGGAAGUUUGAGGCAAUAACAGGUCUGUGAUGCUCUUUGAUGUUCUGGGCCGCACGCGCGCUACACUGAUGAAGUCAACGAGUUCUUAUCCUUUAUCGGAAGAUAUGGGUAAUCUUUUGAAACUUCAUCGUGCUGGGGAUAGAGCUUUGCAAUUAUUGCUCUUAAAGGAGGAAUCCCUAGUAAGCACAAGUCAUCAGCUUGUGCUGAUUACGU
This 1220-nucleotide ribosomal RNA is filed under the name uncultured Glomus. RNAcentral describes it as "SSU rRNA". It matches the Rfam family "Eukaryotic small subunit ribosomal RNA", at positions 407 to 1650 of the family's 1831-position model. The record is from RNAcentral. Lineage: Eukaryota; Fungi; Glomeromycota; Glomeromycetes; Glomerales; Glomeraceae.